RNAcentral lists this small nuclear RNA (108 nucleotides) under Rhinopithecus bieti (black snub-nosed monkey). The record is from RNAcentral. Lineage: Eukaryota; Metazoa; Chordata; Mammalia; Primates; Cercopithecidae.
GUGCUCGCUUCAGCAGCACAUAUACUAAAAAUUGGAACGAUACAGAGAAGAUUAACAUGGCCCCUGUGCAAGGAUGACACGCAAAUUCGUGAAGCAUUCCAUAUUUUU